UACAAUACAACGUUUUGAGCUCUCUUCUCUUGUCUGCUCUCGAGUAAAAGCUUUGAUUCUUCUAGCUCUCUCUCGCCUCCUGUUUUCUUACAAUUCGCGUCGGGUUCUCCUUUGGCGGGCGCCCUCGCCUUCCUUCUCAAUCUUGUUGCCAGCCGCAUCGUCCUCUGCCUUGUCCUUGGAAUCGUCCGGGCUGGAGAUGUCUUCCUUCUUGGACUUCUCUACAGUCACCUGUUGCCAGCCGCAUCGUCCUCUGCCUGAUCCUUGGAAUCGUCCGGGCUGGAGAUGUCUUCCUUCUUGGACUUCUCUACAGUCACCUGCGCAAGACAAACAACCAUGACAAUCCAAAACUCGCGCAACGGUAUUGGCUAAUUGUACCUUCGUCUUCUUGGGGGGCGAUUUCUUGCCACCAAAAAGAAUCUUAAACAGCGUGACCGAAAAGAAAGUUAGAAUACGAGACAAAGUCCAUGUUCAUGUGUUUUACUUACAAGAAUCUUUUCCUUCUGUGACGCCAAAGCCGGGAUGUCGGCAACCUUGCGCAGGUACUCAAACAUCUUUGC
Molecule: long non-coding RNA, 557 nt
Filed under: Selaginella moellendorffii
Lineage: Eukaryota; Viridiplantae; Streptophyta; Lycopodiopsida; Selaginellales; Selaginellaceae
Description: long non-coding RNA (SMOE_LNC001245)
Source: RNAcentral